UACGUAGGGUGCGAGCGUUGUCCGGAAUUAUUGGGCGUAAAGAGCUCGUAGGCGGUGUGUCGCGUCGGCCGUGAAAACCUGGGGCUUAACUCUGGGCGUGCGGUCGAUACGGGCAUCACUAGAGUUCGGCAGGGGAGACUGGAAUUCCUGGUGUAGCGGUGAAAUGCGCAGAUAUCAGGAAGAACACCCGUGGCGAAGGCGGCUCUCUGGGACGGUACUGACGCUGAGACGCGAAAGCGUGGGGAGCGAACAGG
RNAcentral lists this ribosomal RNA (254 nucleotides) under uncultured bacterium. Its description in RNAcentral is "partial 16S ribosomal RNA". It matches the Rfam family "Bacterial small subunit ribosomal RNA", at positions 524 to 776 of the family's 1533-position model. The record is from RNAcentral.